RNAcentral lists this unclassified non-coding RNA (316 nucleotides) under Devriesia sp. RNAcentral describes it as "partial contains 5.8S ribosomal RNA, internal transcribed spacer 2, and large subunit ribosomal RNA". The record is from RNAcentral. Lineage: Eukaryota; Fungi; Ascomycota; Dothideomycetes; Mycosphaerellales; Teratosphaeriaceae.
AACGCACCUUGCGCUCCUUGGUAUUCCUUGGAGCAUGCCUGUUUGAGUAUCAUGAAAUUAUCAAAAUAAUUCUUUUGUUCAUUCGAUUGAAUUUAUUUUGGACUUGGAGGUCUGCAGAUCCAUGUCUGCUCCUCUUAAAUAAAUUAGCUGGAUCUCAGUGAGCUCGGUUCCACUCGGCGUGAUAAGUAUCACUCGCUGAGGACACUGUAAAAGGUGGCCGGGAUUGCGGAUGAACCGCUUCUAAUCGUCUAUUCACUUAGACAACAAUACUUUAUGAUCUGAUCUCAAAUCAGGUAGGACUACCCGCUGAACUUAA